AUCAAUAUAAGUGUUCCGAAGUCAACGGGACGCACAGGUAUCCCGAACUAAAUCUAACAACAUUACUUGGAUCCAAGUGCAGUGUCCGCAACAGCGAAACAGUUACGAUUGCGGAUACUUUGUAUUGAGGUUUAUGAAAGAAAUCCUUCAGGCAAAUCAAUUAGAGAUUCCGCUCACGUACCUUGACGAAUUUCGUGCUGCUGGGUACCCGAGACUUAAGUUGGAAGAAAUAAAAGAGGAUUUGUGUCAAUUUUAUAUUAAGCGCUUUUUCAUGUAGGAUUUGUG
Long non-coding RNA from Vicia villosa (hairy vetch), 285 nucleotides. RefSeq lists it as uncharacterized. The record is from RefSeq and is a predicted model, not a curated record. The transcript is spliced from 3 exons. NCBI's taxonomy places the organism in Eukaryota, Viridiplantae, Streptophyta, Magnoliopsida, Fabales, Fabaceae.